AAUUUAAAAAUUAGAAUCAAGUCGCCUUACCAGUAUUAUCAUUUAUCUCCUCAUUCCGGCGAAGGGAGUAGCCGGCGCCGGUGGAUACCGUGCUUCCGAUGAUGCUGCGAUUUUGUUCCGUAAAAUAUAAUUCCGGCACUCCCUAUUUGCACAGAGCGCUCCUUCUGGUCUCUAAUCCGAUUGCUGUUUCGCUGACAUUCGAUUUAUUCGGUUUCUGCAUUUGAACUCCAGUGCUGUUUUUAUACGAAUUCAUGUGCGUGCAGUUUCUUGUUUUUGAUUUUCUAAUAGCUAAAGAAAUUCCUCGUAGCUAUGGAAUUUCGCUGGGCAUAAUUGCUCCUCACCUUUCCAACUAACGGAUUCACUGGUGAUUCGACCAGGGCACGAAGGGAGAAACAAUUGUAAUGUCAGUACUUUCAUACUGUUGAUGAAGCAUUGGAGGUUAGAGGGAGAGGGCGCCGAUUGAAUGAAGCGAAGCCUAUUAUGAACCAAAUAUGGAGAACAUUUUUGUCCUAUGCAUUCAUUGCAUAUAUUUCUCUUUGGCAAGCUUUUCUAACAAUAUCCACAGUGUUUGAUAACAUCCGAUGAACUACCUCCGCCCAAGGAUUCGCUCAGGAAUGCAAACGGAGGUGAAGAAAGAAUGUCAUAGGAAGACAGAAGAUUACAACAGUUAAUCAACUCAAGCCAGGCAAAGCCACAUUCAGGUGUUGAUAAGUUUAAGCACACAAAACAGAAGAGCUUUCGUCGUCUGUAUGCGUUUUUGGGCAAUUCUAAAGGAUGCACUAUGAUGUUCUUUGUAUGCGCAAUGAGAGAGCGCUCGGACGACAUAAAACUUCGGAGAUAAUUGAUGACGUUGUGCACAUAAAAUUGACACUAAUUAUGCCUUUUGAAAAAAACAAUAAUUCUCGAGAGUGCAUUGAUUUUAGUUGUCUUAUGUGCAUUUUACGCGUGCUCAUAUCUUUGGCAAGCUUUUCUAAUUUGAGUCCCAGGUGUCAUGCGGACGGCUCUAUCUUUGGCAAGCCUUUCUAACAUGGAUUCCUUGGCGUGCCUAGAUGAAGAUGUCCGCAUGACUGUGGCGAUGCCUUCACACCUGCGCGACCAUUAUAAGGGUGUUUGUAGCUGCUGUAGCGGCACCAACAUCCCCCAAGAGAGCGGUAAGAAUGUUCAAAAUGGCUGAUAUAUUUGAACUCGUAUAUUGGAGGUGGAGUAGCCUCAUCUAAAGUUGCUUCACUAACUGAUCGAGCUCGAUUAAGAUUUCUUUUGGGUAUUUGGUGUGUUUGGUUAUGUAUGAAGUAGCCUUGAGACUUUUUGGUCGAUAUUAAGUUAUAAUAAAAUUCCCGGCAUUUGUGCGGGACCUUUCCACGUUA
Molecule: long non-coding RNA, 1364 nt
Organism: Andrographis paniculata
Lineage: Eukaryota; Viridiplantae; Streptophyta; Magnoliopsida; Lamiales; Acanthaceae
Exons: 6
Source: RefSeq, a predicted model, not a curated record